AUGACAACUGGGUUUGUAAUGGUGCUGUCGCUGAGCCGCGACACAGCGAGCCAUGGGCCAUUGGUGUCUCCCGACCACUCCUGUCUCAGCCUCCAGUAUUUAUGCUGUAGUAGUUUGUGUGUCGGGGUGCUAUCCGUUGUCCUGUGUGAAUUUAAGUAUGCUCUCUCUUUUUCUCGCUCUCGGGGGACCUGAGCCCUAGGACCAUGCCUCAGGACUACCUGGACUGAUGACUCCUUGCUGUCCCCAGUCCACCUGGCCAUGCUGCUGCUCCAGUUUAAACUGUUUGACCUGCGGCUAUGGAAUCCUGACCUGUUCACCGGACGUGCUACCUGUCCCAGACCUGCUGUUUUCAACUGACAUUUACUCCUGAGAAGGGAGAGAAAUGGGAAGGAGUGUACACAAGACGGCCACACAGGAGAGGACCACUCUGCUCGCCAGCCGGCUCUACGGAGGAUUAUCAGGCUUAAGUGUACCGGACGCAGAGAAACACGGCCAAACACAGCGGUGACAGACUCGCAUUGGGAACUGGUGGACCCCGAUAUGAUGCCUGACGGACUGGAAUCACUGAUCCAUGACGACGGUGACCUGGAACCAUCCUCGGUGUGGCACUGCUGAAAACACAAGCAUAAAACCGUGACACGACGAUCACAUUAUUCAGUCUGACCUGUGUUCAAACUACAUUGACCAAUCAAGCAUGACUAUUACAACAAAAAACAAACAAACAUUAUAACCACAUAAUGAGGGACAAAUCCCGUACCAGCACACUAGACUCUAACCCUGUGGUGUAGUAGUGGUCCAUUAUGCAAAUAGCCUAACAUGAAUCAUGCCCCGGGUACUCAGAACGCUUCAUUGUGGUUAGACAUAAUCACAGGGGGCUUAUAAGACACAUUGAGCCUUUCAGAGAGCAGAGGAAGCUCUCUCCUCCAUCAUAAAGAGGAGAUGAAUAGUCUAUCGCGUGGAGCACCUGCAUCCAUUCCACUGCACCCCGGCACUCGCAGUGCUGCGUUUAC
This is a long non-coding RNA of Oncorhynchus tshawytscha (Chinook salmon), 1010 nucleotides long. NCBI's taxonomy places the organism in Eukaryota, Metazoa, Chordata, Actinopteri, Salmoniformes, Salmonidae. The record is from Ensembl.